AACGCACAUUGCGCCCCCUAGCACUCUAGAGGGCAUGCCUGUCCGAGCGUCAUUUCAACCCUCAAGCGCUGUUUCGCUUGGAGUUGGGGCUCUUGCAGCGGAGUACUUUUAGUGCUUUGCAAGCCCUGAAAUUUAGCGGCGGGCUCGCCGGCACACCGAGCGCAGUAAAUUUACUUCUCGCUCAGGGCGUUGCGGCGCGGCACAGCCGACUUCUUGAAAACUUUCCAAAGUUGACCUCGGAUCAGGUAGGACUACCCGCUGAACUUAA
This 268-nucleotide unclassified non-coding RNA is filed under the name uncultured fungus. RNAcentral describes it as "partial contains 5.8S ribosomal RNA, internal transcribed spacer 2, and large subunit ribosomal RNA". Lineage: Eukaryota; Fungi. The record is from RNAcentral.